RNAcentral lists this ribosomal RNA (321 nucleotides) under Triticum aestivum (bread wheat). RNAcentral's name for it is "partial small subunit ribosomal RNA". Lineage: Eukaryota; Viridiplantae; Streptophyta; Magnoliopsida; Poales; Poaceae. The record is from RNAcentral.
AUGCUUCUACUUUCUGUAUGGAGCUGGGAGCGUCUGCCUGUUGGACGCCCGAAGAGCGUCAGGUUUAAUCCAUGGUAUGAAGAUGAACAUGACGAAUUACGGCGCCCCACUUGGGCUUACAAGUGGGAUGUGGUUUCCGAGAUGACGAACGAUGUCAAUCUCAUGUACCAGAAGUACGUUGCCGAGUUGGACACGAUUACGCCUGAGCAGGUGGAAUGGCAGCCAUAUGGCGCCGAUGACAGACUUGGGUACACCCCGGAGUUUAGCAUCAACCCGAUGUGCUUGCGGAUAGGGAUCUCUGGCUUAUGCGGUGCCCACUGA